UACGUAGGGUGCAAGCGUUGUCCGGAAUUAUUGGGCGUAAAGGGCUCGUAGGCGGUCCAUCGCGUCGGGAGUGAAAAGCUGGGGCUUAACCCCAGUCCUGCUUCCGAUACGGGUGGACUAGAGGUAGGUAGGGGAGAACGGAAUUCCUGGUGUAGCGGUGAAAUGCGCAGAUAUCAGGAGGAACACCGGUGGCGAAGGCGGUUCUCUGGACCUUACCUGACGCUGAGGAGCGAAAGCAUGGGGAGCAAACAGG
RNAcentral lists this ribosomal RNA (253 nucleotides) under uncultured bacterium. RNAcentral's name for it is "partial 16S ribosomal RNA". It matches the Rfam family "Bacterial small subunit ribosomal RNA", at positions 524 to 776 of the family's 1533-position model. The record is from RNAcentral.